Platichthys flesus (European flounder) is the source of this 893-nucleotide long non-coding RNA. RefSeq lists it as uncharacterized. The record is from RefSeq and is a predicted model, not a curated record. NCBI's taxonomy places the organism in Eukaryota, Metazoa, Chordata, Actinopteri, Pleuronectiformes, Pleuronectidae. The transcript has 2 exons.
UGUAGUCAUGUGUCUUACAUAUGACUGAUAAUAUGUGUAUGAAUGAAUGUCUUAAGUCAAUGUGAUUCUGUUUUCAUAUUAAUACUUGAACCUUAUAGUAUUAUCAUUUAAUUUAGCAUUGAGUUUGAUCUUUGAGAAUUGAAGUUGUAUUGAUACGAUCGAUAUACAUGUGUGACCUGUUUAUAGGUCAGGUUUUGAUUCUGAGGAAAAGAAUUCUCCGGUGUCAAAGAGGACAUCAAGAAACCAAGAUUCCAGUUAACUGGUGGCGAGCUACUCUACGAUCUUUCAGAAGAGAUUGGACUUUCACGUUCUUCACUCCACAGUGUGGUGGAUCCCUUCCACACUUUAUUCAGAGUCGAGGGUCUCUCCCUCCUCGGAGACGAGCAGAUAAAGCCAGUGAAUCCAGUGCUGUGGAUGCCUGAGGACGUGCUGCAGAGAAUCAGCCUGCAGCCUGACCUCCUGAGCUAGCAAAGCUCCCCACCAUCACACCCACUCCACUGCUGGAUGCCAGAAGCAGAGAGAGGACCACCACACAUCCUAGUCCACAGACAGAUUUCACAUGCGGACAGCUCAUCUCCGCUUGGAGAACUUUGGGAUCUUGUCGACCUUAGAGAGUGGUUGAUGCAACACUUUUCUCUGGUCUGGUCUUUUGGUCACCCAAUUGUGCUGAAGAAAAAAAAUAUUUACAGAACCACAAUGACUUAAAACCUGAAUCAGACGUGUUAAACAGAUUUCUUAGUCGUUGACAGAUCAGAGAAUUAAGGAGCAUGUGUGGGUUUUAUCACACAGUGCUAGAUACAUUUUAGCAAUAACAGAGGAAUCAGUCAAUCACAGAGGAAUAUUCUAAUGAUUGGGGACAAAUUGAUGAAUUCAUUAAAGAUCCAUAGUUAUCA